CAUGCCGCGUGUGUGAGAAGGCCUUCGGGUUGUAAAGCACUUUUGUCCGGAAAGAAAACCUCUUGGUUAAUACCUGAGGGGGAUGACGGUACCGGAAGAAUAAGCACCGGCUAACUACGUGCCAGCAGCCGCGGUAAUACGUAGGGUGCGAGCGUUAAUCGGAAUUACUGGGCGUAAAGCGUGCGCAGGCGGUCUGUUAAGACCGAUGUGAAAUCCCCGGGCUUAACCUGGGAACUGCAUUGGUGACUGGCAGGCUUUGAGUGUGGCAGAGGGAGGUAGAAUUCCACGUGUAGCAGUGAAAUGCGUAGAGAUGUGGAGGAAUACCGAUGGCGAAGGCAGCCUCCUGGGCCAACACUGACGCUCAUGCACGAAAGCGUGGGGAGCAAACA
This 389-nucleotide ribosomal RNA is filed under the name Burkholderia sp. 3CBG. RNAcentral's name for it is "bacterial SSU rRNA". It matches the Rfam family "Bacterial small subunit ribosomal RNA", at positions 393 to 774 of the family's 1533-position model. The record is from RNAcentral. Lineage: Bacteria; Pseudomonadati; Pseudomonadota; Betaproteobacteria; Burkholderiales; Burkholderiaceae.